Non-coding RNA from Cinara cedri, 290 nucleotides. The record is from the annotation of a GenBank genome assembly. NCBI's taxonomy places the organism in Eukaryota, Metazoa, Arthropoda, Insecta, Hemiptera, Aphididae.
AAAUGGAAUAUGGACAUUUUUUAAGUUCUCACAAUAUGGACCAUAUGAUUUCUAACACGAGUGAUGUAUGGGUAUGGUUCAGUAUAUCAAAACUCACAUAACCAAUAGACCUUGUUAUUUUUGGCACACAACCAUUGCAUUCCUAUUAAAUUUAAACACGUCCUCUUGCAUUUUAAACGAACCGAUUACAGAUGCGAAUUCACAUUCAAAAGUUCUAUAAAACAGUAUCACUAACUCGUUUCCCCAUUUUUUCCAACACGUGAAUUUUGAUUAUUACUCUACUCAAAUGU